CAGUGAUAAACUGGAGGAAGGUGGGGAUGACGUCAAGUCAUCAUGGCCCUUACGACCAGGGCUACACACGUGCUACAAUGGCAUAUACAAAGAGAAGCGACCUCGCGAGAGCAAGCGGACCUCAUAAAGUAUGUCGUAGUCCGGAUUGGAGUCUGCAACUCGACUCCAUGAAGUCGGAAUCGCUAGUAAUCGUAGAUCAGAAUGCUACGGUGAAUACGUUCCCGGGCCUUGUACACACCGCCCGUCACACCAUGGGAGUGGGUUGCAAAAGAAGUAGGUAGCUUAACCUUCGGGAGGGCGCUUACCACUUUGUGAUUCAUGACUGGGGUGAAGUCGUAACAAGGUAACCGUAGGGGAACCUGCGGUUGGAUCACCUCCUUACCUUAAAGAA
This 391-nucleotide ribosomal RNA is filed under the name Klebsiella quasipneumoniae subsp. quasipneumoniae. RNAcentral's name for it is "bacterial SSU rRNA". It matches the Rfam family "Bacterial small subunit ribosomal RNA", at positions 1153 to 1533 of the family's 1533-position model. The record is from RNAcentral. Lineage: Bacteria; Pseudomonadati; Pseudomonadota; Gammaproteobacteria; Enterobacterales; Enterobacteriaceae.